This is a long non-coding RNA of Esox lucius (northern pike), 3000 nucleotides long. The record is from Ensembl. NCBI's taxonomy places the organism in Eukaryota, Metazoa, Chordata, Actinopteri, Esociformes, Esocidae.
CUCCCUGUCUCAAUAGGUAAAAUGUCAGACAUCAUUGGCUCAGAGAUUGCUUAAGAAAUAGCACAAUAACAUUAAAUGUUUUGUCAAGGACCAGUGGAUUGUAAAUGCUAUGACAUAAUGCUCCUUCACUAGUAGGUAUAGCGGAACUGUGGAUUGAGGGGUGUACUCCCAAAUCAAAUAGCAUGUCUGAAUUAGAUGAAUGCAGACAUACGGCUUGAGCUCUGCUCUGUUCUUACCCUUGAGCUACUGACACUGUUAACAUCGUGUCUCCAUAGUUGUCGCUGCCAAAAACACUGAAUAAUAUCACUGUUAGCAGAGUCAGAUCAGUUUACCUCCUUGUGUCCAUAUCCUACGUGGGUACAGGUGAGUUGGGUGGAGAGAGAGGACACUGAAGCACAUGGAUUCAUAAAGACACGUGGCCAUCAACCAAUCAGGUGGUCAGUUGAUUGCCACCUCUCAGCCUACAGUAAGUACUGGACGUACUGUCACUGGGGAAAAGAUCACACACACAGUGGGAAACUAACUCAUGACAGAAAAACCCACACAGAACUCGAGCACAAGUUAACAGCUUUACUGGACAGUGGCAAUUAUACAACACUUCACUGUACACGGCGUCGUCACAAGUCAGGCUUUGUACACUUGAUGCUCCACGGUGCUUGGGGAGCUACAUGUCCCACAGUGGAACUAUAAAUAUGGCAUUUGCAAAACGAUUUACUUUUUUGCAACCCUUAAUGAUGUUUUUUACACUGCUGAAACGCAGCUGUGCAAGAGAGUGUGUGUGGGAUUGGGCAAUGGAGGGGAGGCCAAGAAAAUGUAUUUAUUGUUGACCGGAUUGGUUUGCACAAGCUAGUUAACAGCUUUUAUUAGUGCUGUUUGUAUCAGUGAAUGCAAUGAAUGGGACCCGAAAGGGACCUGAAAUGUGUUAGGUAGGGUGUAUAUAAUGAGGCACUUUAUGUGUUGGUCAGUUUGUUUCGUUGUCUUCUCCACUUGGUAAUGGUAAAUGAGGGUAUAUGGCUUGUGAUUGCUCUUUUGUAUAUGGCUUGUGAUAACUCUUUGUGCCCCCGCAGUCACUUCAUCAUAACGUGGUGUGUGUUUAUGAUCUACAGUAGCUUUUUUCCCUGAUGGGAACUAAACCUCUAAAGAUAACAUCCACUAUUUUUCCAUUCAGUGUUCACUUCCUCAUAAAUAUUCUAGAAUAAAAUCUAAUAUUUACUACAUAUUUAAUCAUAUUAAUAGCGUAGAUGUGUCUUUGAAACAUCAGAUCCUCUACAUACUACAGCCUUCAUCCUUAAAAAACUUUGAUUUGAACACUUUAUGCUCUUUUCUGUCUUUUGUUAAGUGCCUCCACUGAGUGGUUUCCCUGUCAUUGCUGUCAGACUACAUUCAUAAAAAGACGAUAGUAGUUCUAAAAGAGAUGAUAGGUGUAGAGGAAAUCUGUGGUUGGAAUCAAUGACCUCUCCUUGACCUUGUGUCCUUCCGAAGGCCUUACUACAGUAUAUAUGCUGAGUUACAGUAUCAGAUAUGUCCAAAAAUGUAGUAUCGUAAUGCAAGGACCACACACUGUUGUCCAGGUUACCAAGUCUUUUGUUACUAUUCAGCAAAUUGAUCCAAGAUAAGAAUUGUUUGUCUGAAUAAGUAUGCACUCUUGCUUUAAUCAACUAAAAUAUUUGUAAUAUACAUGCCCAUAGUUUUGAAACUAGUUAAUAGUUUAGUUAUUAAUGGGCAAAACCGAACCUAAAUCAUGGCAAAAACUGCAUAUGCGUCCAACAAGUAGCUUUACGAGCUUGUUGUUGCCAUCGCAUACAAAUAAUAUGGGACCAAAUACAAAACCUUUGACUAAUACACUAUUAAGAUGAUUAAUCUAGAAUGUUCACAUACUUUUCAGACUAAUUAGUGUUGCAUCAAUUUGCUCAGUAGAUAAUGGAAAAAAAUACAAUGUUUUAUUUUAUUUGUUUUAUCAUGUUUACUUAGAUGAUGAUCUGUUAAAUUUUUUGUUCAAAUGUCUGCAGAAAUACCGUAAAUGCAAAUGUUCUCUCACCCCUGUAGGUGAAUUAAAGUGAUGACGCUACAUUCAUAUAUACAUAAAUGAUUGUCACAUUCUGCAGUAAUAAUGUAUUGUAAUAAAAUUAUGAUUAGAUAUGUAAUUUAAGUGUGAGGAAAGGCACAAACAUUAUGUACUUACAGUGAUCAUGAGGUACAACUUCUAAACACAGGUUGAAGUUGUAAAAAUUUUUUUUUGAAGAAAAUAUAAUAUGGGUUGUUACACAAAUUUUGCAUUUGUUUAAUAUUGUUAGCAGAAAUUGUGCACUAGUGGUGAAUUAAAUGCAUGCUAUAUUAAAGGUGCCCUUUAAUAUAGACCACCUGGGUUGUUUAUAACAUGUAUCUCAAUUCUAAGAUGUUUUCCUCUAAUUUAAAUUUUCCGAGUUGAUCUAAUUGGUCAAAUUUGUACAAAUAUUAGUAAAAACAUAAAUCGGGCCCCUGUGUAAAAACAGCCAUCCCUUUACCCCCAUGACAUUUUGUUGAAGUUAUUCGUGAAGAUUAAUAUUUAUUUCAUGUGAUCAGUGAUUCAUUCACAUUUGUCCCAUUUUUAGGUCAAUCCUGUUUCAAAAAACAUUUUGCAUCUAUUUGCCAAACCAUGAGAGAAGAUAUAAAAUCUGAGUAACUGGCAUUACUCUUCUUAGAAAUGUUCUGUUGUUUUGGGUUGAAUAACUGAGUCAAGCAUAUCAACCCUUUUACCCACAGAAAGGCUAGCUGCUAUCCUACUCCUUGACUUUCUUUGUCAUCGACUGUGUUACCGUCCACCCUGUUCACUUAUCAGGCACUUACCCUGGGUUUCUUCAUUGUUAACCGGUGAGACAGGAAGAACUUUUUCCCCAUGAAGUUAACCACGUGGUCUUUAUGACAGAAUGUUCAAAUUAGGUCAAAUCAAGUAGAUACUUUACCUAGUUCAACUUCUCAAAAGGCCCUGAAUUGGUGUAACAACCCAUAUGUUAUAUACAC